UUGGAUAAAAGGGGCCUUUGCCAUGUAAGCUGAGCUGCGUCGGGCAGGCAGGGACAGCAAGAUGGUGUCACAGAGGCAGGUCCUCAUAUCCUUGUUGCUGUGGGUCUCAGGUGCCUGCGGGGCGAUCACGAUGACGCAGUCCCCAGGCUCCCUGGCUGUGUCUCUGGGUCAGCGCGUCACCUUGAACUGCAGGGCCAGUCAGAGUGUUAGCAAGUGGUUAGCCUGGUACCAACAGAAACCUGGGCAGCAUCCUAAGCUGCUCAUCUACUACGCAUCCACCCGGGCAUCUGGAGUCCCCGACCGAUUCAGCGGCAGUGGGUCUGGGACAGAUUUCACCCUCACCAUCAGCAACCUCCAGGCUGAAGACGUGGCGACUUAUUACUGUCUGCAGGAUUAUAGCUCUCCUUCCACAGUGCUGCAGCCUCCGGGCACGUCCAUCACCUCCAUCCCGGUGCGGGUCAUGCCGCCCUGGGCUGGUGCAGCUGAGGGGCCGCAACAGGGUCCAGAGCCCUCAGCUGUAUGUGAUGCCCUGACGUCUCCAGCAUCUGCCUCUCGGGGCCACUGA
This is a non-coding RNA of Suricata suricatta (meerkat), 565 nucleotides long. Lineage: Eukaryota; Metazoa; Chordata; Mammalia; Carnivora; Herpestidae. The record is from the annotation of a RefSeq genome assembly.